GCACGGACAAUAACAAUUACCAUAAAAUCAAGUUGACAAUCGAAAUAACAAUAACCAGAAACAGUGAGACAGGCAUAUCAUUGUGCAGUGAUCAUGCUUCAAGUCACAUCAUUGAUGCUGUUAUUUUCACGCAAAAAAGAUAACCAGCAAAAUAAUAACCCGAUAUAGCAUAAAUUUAUAAAACAAAGCAUAGUAAGGAUCAAGCCAUACAUAGAAUAUAAUUUGCCACAAGAGGUAAAUGACUGAGGCAAUAAGAGUAUAACUCACACAUCUCAAUCUGAAAUCAUAGAAAGGGAUUCCCAUUGAACCCAAAUGUUGUGAAAAAUAUGCACCUUAUGCGGGACAUAUGUGAGUUCUUAAAAUAUCUAAGAAAUGGCCUAGGGAAGGAAUAGAGGUAGAGUUUCAAUUUCUGACUAUGGCUUUUUUAGUUGUCAGAAAAAAAUGGCACACAAGAUAUUUUAAUGAUCUCGGGAAAAGUGAGGGAAUGAUAUCAAGUAAUGCUAUGCCUGGAUUGGGGUAAACAGAUGAACCAGACAGCUUAGAUGCCAAAUGGAAGAUGUCACCCAAAAGGAUCUUUAAUAGGUGGCAAUCCUACCAUAUAUGAAGGUUGGCCUCCCUAUUGUCCUAUGGCUUCUCCAACACCAAUCCGCACAAUAUACCAUCUCAUCACAAUUUUAUAUAGUAAUUCAAAAUUGGACGAGCAAUACUUUAGACCUUGCAUAAUAGCUACUGAGAACCCUCACUCCUCCUGUUAUUUCCUGUUGUAGGUCAGCGGCCCAAUGUGCUUAAUAUUAGCACGAUUCUGGGAAUUUAAUUUAAGCUAAGAAGAUUUGAUAGCAGAUUUCUGUUUGGCCUACAGUAUGUUUAAUAGGAAAGGAUUUUAGAGAGGCAGACAAGGAGUUGGGGGAGUCACCAUGUUCCAGGUGUAAUUUUUUAAAAUAUAUAAUUUGCAGAUAUUUAAACAAUUCUCUAUGGGAUAAACUGCUAUUAGAACAAAUAUCGGAGGAGGGGAGCAGGAUCCUCUUUGACCUAAUAUCACUGACCUGCUAUAAAUGUAUCUAUCCCUGACUGAAUAAUUUGGAGACAGGAGUCAGGGAUUCAGACAAGUAUAGUGCAUAAAAUUAAUUUUAACUGAGGCAAGUCUACCCAGCCAAGAUAAUUCAGUCUUACUCCAACAGAACAUAUCUACCCGUAUCUGAUUCCAUUUGCCUCAAUGUUAAUAGGAACUAUAGUAGAGGUUUUUUUCCCACAAGCUAAAUGGUUAAAAAUACUACGGUAUAUAGUUAUUUUUACAAGGGAAAUUAUUGUGUUAAGAUUUUAAUAGUUAAAGGGAGGAUUUGUGACUUGUGAAUGUUAACUGUGGUAAGAAUACAUUGUAAAUUAGAUAGAGAGAUAAAGGGAUCAGAAAGAGUUAACAUGUUAUCUAUAAACAUGCAUUGUUUAUAGGUAUUAGAGAGGACAGGAUCAUGACUAUUAUCCAUACGUUGUAUCUUUGGUAAUAUAAAUUGCUUAACUUUGGCAUCUUCAGUAGAUCAGCAAAAUUUUAGUAUAGGAGUAAAAUUGUUGGCAAUUUCCUUACACAAUUGUAGACUAGUCCCUAGCAUGCAUUGUGUCUGUUUAGAUUGAUUGUUCUAACUUCUCCCAAUAUAGUAAUAGCCCUAGUGUGGUUUCACAGCUAAUACUUUCUCCAAUCAGUUGUACUGCCAUAGGCAUAUCAGUUAUAUUCUGUAUAUUCUGUUGUACUGCCAUAGGCAACAGCCUGAUUUAAAAUCUAUCCAGACCCGGACUUGCAAGCAACACAGAGCUCUUAUAUUUAGUGAUUAUUAUUUUCUUUUCUUAUUUAAAUGUAUAUAUUUCCAUUACUUUGUAAGCCUAUGCUAAUCAUACUUUGCAUAUCCCUGACACAUUGCACAUUUUAUCACCUUUAUGGCUUGUCCUUUAUGUUAAACGUUAGUUUAACCAGCUCAGGCCCACAUAUCUUUCUUGUUAUUUGUUUAAUGGUUUUAUUUCCCUACAUGGAUACCUUUGUCUUAUCUCUGUGAUUUGUGAUCUUUCCCUUUGUUUUUGCUUGACUGACCUUUACCACGAAUGUCCACAGAUGCAUCUUCCCCAUUCCUUAGUUU
Non-coding RNA from Pelobates cultripes (western spadefoot toad), 2123 nucleotides. The record is from the annotation of a GenBank genome assembly. Lineage: Eukaryota; Metazoa; Chordata; Amphibia; Anura; Pelobatidae.